UUCCGGUUGAUCCUGCCGGAGGUCAUUGCUAUUGGAGUCCGAUUUAGCCAUGCUAGUUGCACGAGUUCAGACUCGUAGCAGAUAGCUCAGUAACACGUGGCCAAACUGCCCUAUAGACGGCGAUAACCUCGGGAAACUGAGGCUAAUAGCCGAUACCGUUCAACACCUGGAGUGGUGUGAACGCGAAACGUUCAGGCGCUAUAGGAUGUGGCUGCGGCCGAUUAGGUAGACGGUGGGGUAACGGCCCACCGUGCCCAUAAUCGGUACGGGUUGUGAGAGCAAGAGCCCGGAGACGGUAUCUGAGACAAGAUACCGGGCCCUACGGGGCGCAGCAGGCGCGAAACCUUUACACUGCACGCGAGUGCGAUAAGGGGACUCCGAGUGCGAGGGCAUAUAGUCCUCGCUUUUCACCACCGUAAGGUGGUGGUGGAAUAAGUGCUGGGCAAGACCGGUGCCAGCCGCCGCGGUAAUACCGGCAGCACGAGUGAUGACCGCUAUUAUUGGGCCUAAAGCGUCCGUAGCUGGCCAGGCAAGUCUAUCGGGAAAUCUGCGCGCUUAACGCGCAGGCGUCCGGUGGAAACUGCAUGGCUUGGGACCGGAAGACCAGAGGGGUACGUCCGGGGUAGGAGUGAAAUCCCGUAAUCCUGGACGGACCACCGGUGGCGAAAGCGCCUCUGGAAGACGGAUCCGACGGUGAGGGACGAAAGCUCGGGUCACGAACCGGAUUAGAUACCCGGGUAGUCCGAGCUGUAAACGAUGUCUGCUAGGUGUGGCACAGGCUACGAGCCUGUGCUGUGCCGUAGGGAAGCCGAGAAGCAGACCGCCUGGGAAGUACGUCCGCAAGGAUGAAACUUAAAGGAAUUGGCGGGGGAGCACUACAACCGGAGGAGCCUGCGGUUUAAUUGGACUCAACGCCGGA
Molecule: ribosomal RNA, 919 nt
Filed under: uncultured archaeon
Lineage: Archaea
Description: bacterial SSU rRNA
Rfam family: Archaeal small subunit ribosomal RNA
Source: RNAcentral